UAAUACUGCUAAUGUCUCCUGAG
This 23-nucleotide microRNA is filed under the name Tribolium castaneum (red flour beetle). Its description in RNAcentral is "tca-miR-11625a-3p". The record is from miRBase by way of RNAcentral. Lineage: Eukaryota; Metazoa; Arthropoda; Insecta; Coleoptera; Tenebrionidae.